GCAAGUCGAACGGUAACAGGCUGUAUGGGAUCCCUUCGGGGUGAACUUGGCGCUGACGAGUGGCGAACGGGUGAGUAACACGUAGGAAUCUACCCAGAAGUGGGGGACAACCCGGAGAAAUCCGGGCUAAUACCGCAUACGCCCUAAGGGGUAAAGCGGGGGACCUUUUCGAAGGCCUCGCGCUUUUGGAUGAGCCUGCGUCGGAUUAGCUUGUUGGUGAGGUAAUGGCUCACCAAGGCAACGAUCCGUAGCUGGUUCGAGAGGAUGACC
RNAcentral lists this ribosomal RNA (270 nucleotides) under uncultured bacterium. Its description in RNAcentral is "partial 16S ribosomal RNA". It matches the Rfam family "Bacterial small subunit ribosomal RNA", at positions 57 to 305 of the family's 1533-position model. The record is from RNAcentral.